Molecule: RNA transcript, 3042 nt
Organism: Nycticebus coucang (slow loris)
Lineage: Eukaryota; Metazoa; Chordata; Mammalia; Primates; Lorisidae
Gene: TRAM1
Gene name: translocation associated membrane protein 1
Exons: 12
Source: RefSeq, a predicted model, not a curated record
CGACGGCGCGAGCGAGCGCCGUCUCCCUGGUGCGCAUGCUCCCCCCUCCCCGCUGCGGGCUAGCUUUUUUUUUUUUUUUUUUCCCGGGCGGCCCCGGCGGCUGCGUACUGGCCGUGGGAUGGGAAGUGAAGCCCCAGUAAGCGGCUGCGGCGGGGCUGUGAGGAGCAGUCGGGGGGAGGCGGCGGCGGCAGCCAGUCGGUGAGCAGCUGGGAAGAGCAGAGCCGGGGCGGAGCACCUGCAGGCACGGGCGGUGGCCCCACCAUGGCGAUUCGGAAGAAAAGCAGCAAGAGCCCUCCGGUUCUGAGCCACGAAUUCAUCCUGCAGAAUCACGCGGACAUCGUCUCCUGUGUGGCGAUGGUCUUCCUGCUGGGGCUCAUGUUCGAGAUAACAGCAAAAGCUUCUAUUAUUUUUGUUACUCUUCAGUACAAUGUUACUCACCCUGCAACAGAAGAACAAGCUGCUGAAUCAGCGUCUCUUUAUCACUAUGGUGUCAAAGAUUUGGCUACAGUUUUCUUCUACAUGCUAGUGGCAAUAAUCAUUCACGCCGUAAUUCAAGAGUAUGUAUUGGACAAAAUUAACAGGCGAAUGCACUUCUCCAAAACAAAACACAGCAAGUUUAAUGAAUCUGGUCAGCUUAGUGCAUUCUACCUUUUUGCCUGUGUUUGGGGAACAUUCAUUCUAAUCUCUGAAAACUACAUCUCAGACCCAACUAUCUUGUGGAGGGCUUAUCCCCAUAACCUGAUGACAUUUCAAAUGAAGUUUUUCUACAUAUCACAGUUGGCUUACUGGCUUCAUGCUUUUCCUGAACUCUACUUCCAGAAAACCAAAAAAGAAGAUAUUCCUCGUCAGCUUGUCUACAUUGGUCUUUACCUCUUUCACAUUGCUGGAGCUUACCUUUUAAACUUGAAUCAUCUAGGACUUGUUCUUCUGGUGCUGCAUUAUUUUGUUGAAUUUCUUUUCCAUAUUUCCCGCCUGUUUUAUUUUAGUGAUGAAAAGUAUCAGAAAGGAUUUUCUCUGUGGGCAGUUCUUUUUGUUUUGGGAAGACUUCUGACUUUAAUUCUUUCAGUCCUCACUGUUGGUUUUGGCCUUGCGAGAGCAGAGAAUCAGAAGCUGGAUUUCAGUACUGGAAACUUCAAUGUGUUGGCUGUUAGAAUCGCUGUUCUGGCAUCAAUUUGCAUUACCCAAGCGUUCAUGAUGUGGAAGUUCAUUAAUUUUCAGCUUCGUAGAUGGAGGGAACAUUCUACUUUCCAGGCACCAGCUAUAAAGAAGAAACCAAUAGUGACCAAAAGCAGGUCUUCUAGGAAAGGAACAGUAUACAAGGAUCAUGUCGUCUAUAAAUAAAGAUAGUUUUUACUUCUUCCUGUCCAAUCUGGAUGCUUUCUAUUGCAUUUUCUUGCCAAAUUGCCCUGGCUAGAACCUCCACAACAAUGUUGAAUAGAAAUGGCGAGAGCAGACAUCCUUGUCUUGUUCCUGAUCUUAGGGGAAAAUGGUGUAAAUGGAACAGUAACAUCAAAUGGAGCAGACUCUCCGCGUAAUAGAAAAGAGAAAUCUUCAUAGUGGAUUAUAAACUGAUUAAUGUCCCCAAAGAAAUCUGCUUUUUACUGUGUCUUUCGGCAUUAGAGAUUUUUCCGUUCUUGAAAAUACAGUUUGUGCUCUUUGAUUCUUCCUAUUGUACUGUUUCAUAAAUUUUUUUAAAAGGGCAUUUGAGGGGAGGAUGAUUACUAUGACUGAAAAAAUAUUUUAGCUUAGACUGAGCUACUUGCCUUCAAAAUAGUUUAGGGACCACCACCAUCGUUUAUUUUCUUUUUUAUCUUUGAACAUUUUUGUAAUGAUUUGAAGAAGAAACUAUUUACAGAAAUCCCAUAUAUCAGUGAUACAGUUUCUUGCUUGCAUCAGUUUUUUAUAAUGUUAGCAAGGUAGCCUGUUCCAACAAGGUCAUAUUUUUUUAAGUUAUCUUUCAGGGUAAAAUGGAAAUAAUAUAAAGUUGGAUGUCAAACUUUACUAUCUUUUCAGUGUUCUCUAAUUUUUAGGAAUUUUUGUAGCCUUUACACCUGGAAAAAAAGAUUUGUAAGAUUACGAAAAUAAUUGUGUGCUUUAUUUUAUAAGUAGCAGUUGUUAGUGUUAUAUCCCAUUUAAAAGAGAAAAUACUAAUGGUUACAACAGGGAGAUUUAUUGACAUAUAUAUUGAGGAAAUAUCUAAUUAACAUAAAAGUACACGUGAAAUAAAAAUCUUUCUUGUGCAUUUUCAACACUUGUAAACUGGAAAUUAGAAAAUAUUUACUACGAAGAGGAAAAUCUCACAUACCCCUUUUGAUAUGUUUAUUAAUAAUGAUUCUUAAUGGGGCUUGUCAUAAGUUUGAUAUGCACAGCAUCUUAGAAAAAUAUUGCUUAACCUGGAAACCCUUUUAAAAAAUAAUGCCUACUUGAUUUAUAACAAGAAUGUCAGGUAAUUAUAUAUUUGGAAAAUAUUUAAUGCACUAACUUUAAAAAAAUUGAAAAUUCAGGUGGAUAAAUAGUCUUACAAAAGACAGUGUGCUUUAUGUUAUAACUAUAGCUUUGGUCCCAUCUUUAAUUGAGAAACAUUUAUCUGUACAAAACAUAUUUUUGGAUAAAUAUAUAUAUAUAUUUGUAUCUUUACAGAAAGGCUCUAAAAAGCAUUUGAGUAAAAUAUUUGGUUCCCUUUUCUAUAAUUAGCCUUUAAAAUCCUUAUAGCUACAUUUGGUUGUUCCCUGUCUUUACAGUCUAUAUUGCUUCUUGUUGGUGUUCACAUCUUGUUCCCCAUUUCUCAGUUCUGUCAUCAGCUAAUGGUUGUGCCAUUUUUAGUGUUAAAGUUGUAGACCUGUCAGGUCUGCAGUUUUAGUUUCCAUGCUGCUAGAAAGUUGUGCUUUUUAUUUCCAGCUGUUUCCCUACUUCCUGAAAAAAAGUAGUAGUUCUCCGUAGCAUUAUGAAGUUUUCAGUGGAACCAAAUUUUUGCCAUUAAAAACUGGCAUCUUGAACUAUAUAUUGAGAAAUCAAUCAAAAUAAAAAUUUUUACUUUAACAA